Molecule: unclassified non-coding RNA, 1491 nt
Filed under: Gigantopelta aegis
Lineage: Eukaryota; Metazoa; Mollusca; Gastropoda; Neomphalida; Peltospiridae
Description: nicotinate phosphoribosyltransferase-like, transcript variant X3
Source: RNAcentral
GAUGUCAGCGGCAGUGGAAACGAUGGACAUGCACAACGAUGUCCAGUACAAUGGAAAUGGAGAAAGAAAUGGUGUUAUUCGAGCUUUACUGACAGAUCUCUACCAGAUCACAAUGGCUUACGCAUACUGGAGAAGCGGGAAAAUGAACAGCGUUGCCACAUUCGAUCUGUAUUUCCGAAAGAAUCCAUUCUCGGGAGAAUUCACCAUAUUUGCUGGUUUGGAAGAAUGCAUGAAAUUUCUUGAGAAUUUCCACUUCACAUCUUGUGACAUAGAGUAUUUGAAAUCAGUUUUACCGAGUUCUACAGAACCAGAAUUCUUCGAUUAUUUGGCAAAUCUGACGACUAACGAUGUGACCGUGCACGCUAUAGAGGAAGGUACGAUUGUGUUUCCCAAAGUACCGCUGCUCAUUGUGGAGGGACCUCUGGCCAUUGUUCAGCUGAUGGAGACACCUUUACUCAACCUCGUUAAUUAUGCCAGUUUGGUUGCAACAAACGCUAUGAGGUUUCGUUUAGCAGCUGGUCCGAACAAGCAGUUGUUAGAGUUUGGAUUAAGAAGAGCUCAGGGCCCUGAUGGAGGGCUGUCUGCUUCUCGGUACUGUUAUCUUGGUGGUUUUGAUGGAACCAGCAACGUUCUCGCAGGCAAGAUGUUUGGGAUUCCCGUUCGAGGGACACAUGCUCACGCUUUUGUCACGUCUUUCGCCACUCUUUCAGAUAUCAAGGACCGGACUUUGAAACAGAAGGAUGGUUCUAGGGUGGUGGACUUCAUCGAUGUGUGUUCAAAGUGGUGCAGCAAGUUGGCCCCAGUCUUAGGAUUUCUCACGGACCAGGUGAAUGAAGGUGAACUGGCGGCGUUCGUCACAUACGCGCAGGCGUUCCCCAACGGCCUUGUCGCCCUCAUUGACACCUACGACGUCAUCAGAACGGGACUGCCCAACUUUUGUAUCGUCGCCAUGGCGCUACACGAACUUGGUUACCGAGCGAUAGGAAUUCGGUUGGACAGCGGAGACUUGUCGUAUCUGUCGACGACGGUCAGGCAGACGUUUAAGCUGGUUGCCGACACAUUUAAUGUGCCGUUCUUUGAGAAACUGAUGAUAGUUGCCAGUAAUGAUAUUAAUGAAGAAACGAUUCACUCUCUCAACCAACAGGGUCAUGAGAUUGACUCGUUUGGAAUAGGAACUCACCUGGUAACCUGUCAGAAACAGCCAGCGCUGGGAUGUGUGUUCAAGCUAGUUGAUAUUGAUGGAAAGCCGAGAAUAAAGCUCAGCGAAGAUGUUGAGAAGGUAACUCUGCCUGGGAAGAAGAUUGCAUAUCGGCUUUACGGAAACAAAGUGUCGAGUUUACAAGUUGGCAGUUGGGUAAUGCGUUAGUUGAUUUAAUAAAGAAACCUGAGGAACAACCUCCGCAUGUUAACGAACGAACACUUUGUCGGCAUCCAUUUCAGGAAUCCAAGAGAGCGUAUGUGAUGCCGGCUAAAGUUGAGAAACUGCACAAA